GCAUUGGUGCUCUUAGCGGAAAGGCUUUGGGUGCUUGCCGGCGAAUUGCAAUGUCAUUUUGCGUGAGGAUAAAUCAUUUGUAUACGACUUAAAUGUACAACAGGGUAUUGUAAGCAGUAGAGUAGCCUUGUUGUUACGAUCUGCUGAGAUUAAGCCUUCGUUGUCUGAUUUGUU
This 174-nucleotide ribosomal RNA is filed under the name Lachancea kluyveri. RNAcentral's name for it is "partial 25S ribosomal RNA". It matches the Rfam family "Eukaryotic large subunit ribosomal RNA", at positions 3228 to 3401 of the family's 3401-position model. The record is from RNAcentral. Lineage: Eukaryota; Fungi; Ascomycota; Saccharomycetes; Saccharomycetales; Saccharomycetaceae.